UACGAAGGGGGCUAGCGUUGCUCGGAAUUACUGGGCGUAAAGCGCACGUAGGCGGAUUGUUAAGUCGGGGGUGAAAUCCUGGAGCUCAACUCCAGAACUGCCUUCGAUACUGGCGAUCUCGAGUUCGGGAGAGGUGAGUGGAAUUCCGAGUGUAGAGGUGAAAUUCGUAGAUAUUCGGAAGAACACCAGUGGCGAAGGCGGCUCACUGGACUGGUAUUGACGCUGAGGUGCGAAAGCGUGGGGAGCAAACAGG
Molecule: ribosomal RNA, 253 nt
Filed under: uncultured bacterium
Lineage: Bacteria
Description: partial 16S ribosomal RNA
Rfam family: Bacterial small subunit ribosomal RNA
Source: RNAcentral